GUGUCAGCAGCCGCGGUAAUACGUAGGGUGCGAGCGUUGUCCGGAAUUAUUGGGCGUAAAGGGCUCGUAGGCGGUUUGUCGCGUCGGGAGUGAAAACCAGGUGCUUAACACCUGGCUUGCUUUCGAUACGGGCAGACUAGAGGUAUUCAGGGGAGAACGGAAUUCCUGGUGUAGCGGUGAAAUGCGCAGAUAUCAGGAGGAACACCGGUGGCGAAGGCGGUUCUCUGGGAAUGACCUGACGCUGAGGAGCGAAAGUGUGGGGAGCGAACAGGAUUAGAUACCCCCGUAGUCC
This 292-nucleotide ribosomal RNA is filed under the name uncultured bacterium. RNAcentral describes it as "partial 16S ribosomal RNA". It matches the Rfam family "Bacterial small subunit ribosomal RNA", at positions 505 to 796 of the family's 1533-position model. The record is from RNAcentral.